UACGGAGGAUGCGAGCGUUAUCCGGAUUUAUUGGGUCUAAAGGGCGUGUAGGCGGUUUUGCAAGUCAGAUGUGAAAUCUCCGGGCUUAACCCGGAAACUGCAUCUGAAACUGCAGAACUUGAGCACUGGAGAGGAUAGUGGAAUUCCUAGUGUAGCGGUAAAAUGCGUAGAUAUCAGGAGGAACACCAGUGGCGAAGGCGGCUAUCUGGACAGUGACUGACGCUGAGGCGCGAAAGCGUGGGUAGCAAACAGGAUUA
Molecule: ribosomal RNA, 257 nt
Filed under: uncultured prokaryote
Description: partial 16S ribosomal RNA
Rfam family: Bacterial small subunit ribosomal RNA
Source: RNAcentral